Long non-coding RNA from Haliotis rubra (blacklip abalone), 217 nucleotides. RefSeq lists it as uncharacterized. The transcript is spliced from 3 exons. The record is from RefSeq and is a predicted model, not a curated record. Lineage: Eukaryota; Metazoa; Mollusca; Gastropoda; Lepetellida; Haliotidae.
GAGAGAUGGGUGUGUUGGAGGGUACAUAGAUACUGACUAUAGGUUGGAGCAGUGGGAGAGAUGGGUGUGUUGGAGGGUACAUAGAUACUGACUAUAGGUUGGAGCAGUGGGAGAGAUGGGUGUGUUGGAGGGUACAUAGAUACUGACUAUAGGUUGGAGCAGUGGGAGAGAUGGGUGUGUUGGAGGGUACAUAGAUACUGACUAUAGGUUGGAGCAG